RNAcentral lists this long non-coding RNA (855 nucleotides) under Mus musculus (house mouse). RNAcentral describes it as "predicted gene, 34517". The record is from RNAcentral. Lineage: Eukaryota; Metazoa; Chordata; Mammalia; Rodentia; Muridae.
AGAACAGAACAGAACAGAACUGAGAAACAAAACAGAGAUAGGCCUACCAAGUUAUAUUUUUACUAAGGUAGCUAAACCAUUGGGAAAAAGGCCUACUCAACAAAUGGUGCUGUCAAAACUGAAUAUCCAUUUGCAGAAGAAUGAGAUUUCUUUUCAUUCUUUGACCUUGUUCAGAAAUCCAUUUUGAAAUGGAUCAAAGACCUUAAUUUAAAAAUUCAAAAAGCUGAAAACAGAAAACACUUGUUAAAACUUAGGGUAGGCAACAACUUUCUGAACAGAACUUCAACUUCACAGGGACUUGCUCCCAAUGUCAAAAGACAGGACUACAUGAAAUUGAAGCAAGGAAACUAACAGCAAGAUGCUCAGACACAGAACGGAAAAAGGUUCACCAGCUUCAUCCCAGCUUGCCUGCCCAGCAUUUUCUGAUACUAUGAGAGACAGUCCUCAAAGAAGAAGUUUCCAGGACACGUGUCAGUGCUGAGACAGCUCAAGACUGGAGAAACAGCCAGGCCUUCCAGAGACAACAGUCAAACAGAACAAAACAGGAUACGCUAAGACAACGCAAAAGCACUCAAGCCAACGGCAACCCAACAGGAGGAAGAGUCUCAGGAACAGGUGAGCUUCAGGCUGGAGCUAGAAUAAAGCCCAGUGACACUUGUUCUCUCUGUGUUCCCAGAGUGAGCUAUGGAGGGGGGCCCAAAGCCACAUUGCUGCCUCACUGAGGAUAAGUCCUGAGUGCGCUCUUUAAUGUUUAUUUACAUAUUUAUGAAGGUUUGUUCUGUGGAUUAACAUUGUCCCACACAAUUCCCUGUCAGCUAUGUUUCUUCACUAUAUAUUAAUAUAUUUCUUCUUUAU